CAAACGACUCUCGGCAACGGAUAUCUCGGCUCACGCAUCGAUGAAGAACGUAGCAAAAUGCGAUACUUGGUGUGAAUUGCAGAAUCCCGUGAACCAUCGAGUUUUUGAACGCAAGUUGCGCCCGAAGCUUCGGCCGAGGGCACGUCUGCCUGGGCGUCACGC
Molecule: ribosomal RNA, 162 nt
Filed under: Gochnatia boliviana
Lineage: Eukaryota; Viridiplantae; Streptophyta; Magnoliopsida; Asterales; Asteraceae
Also listed under: 4 other names
Description: 5.8S ribosomal RNA
Rfam family: 5.8S ribosomal RNA
About the family: 5.8S ribosomal RNA (5.8S rRNA) is a component of the large subunit of the eukaryotic ribosome. It is transcribed by RNA polymerase I as part of the 45S precursor that also contains 18S and 28S rRNA.
Source: RNAcentral